CAUGCCGCAUGGUCUGUCGGGAAAGAUUCAUCGGUAUGGGAUGGGGUCGCGUCCUAUCAGCUUGAUGGCGGGGUAACGGCCCACCAUGGCUUCGACGGGUAGCCGGCCUGAGAGGGCGACCGGCCACAUUGGGACUGAGAUACGGCCCAGACUCCUACGGGAGGCAGCAGUGGGGAAUAUUGCACAAUGGGCGCAAGCCUGAUGCAGCGACGCCGCGUGCGGGAUGACGGCCUUCGGGUUGUAAACCGCUUUUGACUGGGAGCAAGCCCUUCGGGGUGAGUGUACCUUUCGAAUAAGCACCGGCUAACUACGUGCCAGCAGCCGCGGUAAUACGUAGGGUGCAAGCGUUAUCCGGAAUUAUUGGGCGUAAAGGGCUCGUAGGCGGUUCGUCGCGUCCGGUGUGAAAGUCCAUCGCUUAACGGUGGAUCCGCGCCGGGUACGGGCGGGCUUGAGUGCGGUAGGGGAGACUGGAAUUCCCGGUGUAACGGUGGAAUGUGUAGAUAUCGGGAAGA
Molecule: ribosomal RNA, 512 nt
Filed under: Bifidobacterium adolescentis JCM 15918
Lineage: Bacteria; Bacillati; Actinomycetota; Actinomycetes; Bifidobacteriales; Bifidobacteriaceae
Description: bacterial SSU rRNA
Rfam family: Bacterial small subunit ribosomal RNA
Source: RNAcentral